Mustela erminea (ermine) is the source of this 856-nucleotide long non-coding RNA. RefSeq lists it as uncharacterized. Lineage: Eukaryota; Metazoa; Chordata; Mammalia; Carnivora; Mustelidae. The record is from RefSeq and is a predicted model, not a curated record. The transcript has 3 exons.
GGUUGGAAAGGGUUGCAAGGUGUGGUCUGGUACCUGGAGAUGGUGGCAUUCAUAUCAGUUCUGUAGAAAGCAGGGAAUGGUGGCUGCCCCUUGCCCGUAAAGAGAGCGGUUCCCUGUACCUUUUUUAUUCCCUGGCGUCAGAGGGCAUGGCCAGACCAAGAGAUGGAAACUACAGGGAGGCCAGCUGAGACUUGAUUGAAGAAGGGGAAUCUUCUGAUAAAGGAAGACUGCUUAGGGCAUCAAACACACUUUUCAACUGAGAAGGCAUCAGCACACCAGAGAAAUGCGUGCAGUCUGAACAGGCACGAAGUUCUUGUUGAUGGUCAAGUCCUCUGAUGUGAAGGCCUGGGUUUAAUGCUGGCUUUAACAUCAGUCUCCUGUAUUUCAUCACCAUACCAUCCCGUUGGUCACAGCAGAACCUUCCUGUCUACUGAGGAGCUUUCUGAGAUGUGCCAAAGUGUGAGGAGCUGCCUCUUUCACAAAUUGGAUUCCAUCCCUCACAGACCACGGUGACAGAAAUCCUUCGAGUAACACUGAGAUCAGGUCCAGGGGUCGACCUGGGACUUCGGUUCUGUGGUGUGUGGUUUUUCCUGACUUCAGAUAAUUGUCCUUGGUAGACCCCAAUGACAGUUGGUUCAGAACCGGUGAUAAGUUCAAUGGAGCUGACACAGGCUGACAAAAAUUCCUAUAGUAAAGAGUUUGUGGAAUUUCCCCAGAUGGGGCUUGGAGAGUUUGUCACAUUAGUGGGUUUUUAAGAAUGCCUUUGCUCUUCAUGCAUGCAACUGUGUCUUCUUCUUCUUCUUCUUCUUCUUCUUUUAAUAGAUUUUAUUUGAGAGACUGAGUGUGAGAGAGCACA